CUAUUACAGAUCUUUUUUUGUGCUGGAAACAUGGAUGUGCGUAUGAAUGCCCCAGAUCUGGGUAUCGCGCUGCUGGGUGCCUGUUUGGCAUGGGGAGCUGGUCCCUGGGCAGCAUCCUGCCCGCUGAGGCUGCCCAGAGCUUCAACCCUUGCACUCUAGGUUUUGCUGGCUCCGCGAACGAGGGGUAUAAAUCGCAGCAGGCCUCAGACCGAAUCUCUCCAGGUGGUUGUGACAACUGAACGAGAAGGUAAGCGAAAGCCACAGGCUGUUGGCAAACCACACACCCCUUUCUAGCUGUGCUACUUUUUGGCUGCAGAUCUCUUGCUGCACAACCCUUGCCAGUGCAGGAAACACACUUUGUGCAGAUGUAGGUAAGGAUGGAGGGUGCAGAGUGGGGCCUGCUAGACGUAACCCCAAGUUGCCGGGAAGCUCUUGCCCCUCUCAUCACGGCACGGUGCCUGCAUGCCUCCAUGCCGCGCGUGCAUCCCACCCCCACGUGAAAUGCCUCUGACAACACGUGAUGCCGGCACGGCUGCAUUUGCAGGAAAUCUGUUCUGCUCUCGGUGCACCUGUUCCUAACUCGAAGAUAAGCGGGAGCAUACACGCCAGUCCUGCUACAUAUCAUCCAUUAGCUUAUUGCAUGAUGGACAAGAAGGAUGUACAGCACCUCCACAUCCCUGCCGUGCAAGAUACGCAUAUGGUGCUGAUAUAAAAUGCAAUUGAUUUAACUGGCAGCACCUGACCUGCAGCUCACAGGCAAGUAACUAAAAUGAUCUAAAAGAAUCAAUAAUCUGCUCUUAGAUUGCAACUAUCAGUAUAUGAGAUUGCUAUUUCAAAAGCUCUAGUGAAUAAUUUGUAAUGGCUUCCUUUCUUUCUCUAUAACUUGAACCUCCUUCUUUCUCUUUCCUUCCUUAUAUAUAUCCCACAUAUAUACUUGUCUGAGCAUUCCUGGAGGAUGACAUGUAGGAAAAAAAAACCCGAUAUACUGAGACUUAAUUACACUGGUAUAUCUAACAGAAAAGGCCUAGAUGUUUCAAAUGUCAGUAGAUCUGAAGAUGUGUGGGCAGGAUUUACAACACUAGUAUGUUGCCACUGGUAACUGACUGCAUUUUUAACCUUCCCACUGCUGGCUAGCAGCACUGAAAGAGGAGAAGUCUAGGGGGCUUAUCACAAGAAGUAAACAAGUGUAUUAAAAAUACUAAAAACCAUUGUUGUGAAGCUGAGACAAACAAGGAGAAGGAUUGCAUAAAGGUUAGAUAAGAGCCCUUUCUUCCUAAUGGUCAGCCUACGCAGCGCCUAAUCCCUCCAGUUUGCUGACAUGCCACUGCUUCGGCUGCCAGGNNNNNNNNNNNNNNNNNNNNNNNNNNNNNNNNNNNNNNNNNNNNNNNNNNAAGAGUGAAGCUUUUACACAGAGUAUUUUACAGGCACAGAUAUCUCAGGCGGAAGAUUUUUGAUGGAGUCCCCUGUCAAAAAUUUGGCAGCAGAUUCUUGCUGCGAGUGAGAGAUUCAGAGACACCAAGCAAUCUGACAGACUAUUAGACUGUAUAAUGGAGGCAGAAAUAUAGUCUGAAGUAAGGAG
Molecule: long non-coding RNA, 1579 nt
Organism: Struthio camelus australis
Lineage: Eukaryota; Metazoa; Chordata; Aves; Struthioniformes; Struthionidae
Source: Ensembl